AUUCUGAGCAGCGUGGAAGGAGUUUUCGCCGAAGACCCCCAUGCCAGCUGCUUAAAAAACCCAGGCUGGCAGCACCGGGUCCCAGUAGCACGUUAUAUUUUGAAGAGUGGAGGUGAGGCCCCCCCUUCUUCCCCGGCUGGGGCCUAGUGCACAGCAGGUGUGAGUGAGUCCUUCGGAUCACCGUGCAACAUAGGCAUGGGACGCAGAGGACACUUGCUGAGUAGCGGAAGCAGUGCACAGCUGACAGCUUUGGAGAAGUCAUGACUGAAGGCUGCCUGAAGGGGCUGUCGAGUGACCCAUUAAGGGGAACAGCCUCAGAAAUCCAGGCAACUGGCAGCAGGUCAACAUGGCCUGUUAGCAUAAGCUGAUGGUCACUAAGCACCAGCAUCUGUCAACGCACGCGCCACCACUUCCAACCACUCUAACUUUCUUGUGACAUGUAUGUACUCUCACUCUCUCUCUUUCACACACACACACACACAAGCACUCACAGACAGGCACAUGCACAGAUACACACAUAUUUACCAGUUAAUGGACACAAUCUUUAGCUUGUGAAAUUGCCUCAGACUGGAUUCUGUGGUCUUUUGUUUGCACUUUUAUAACCUGUCCCUUUGUGUUGCAGAGGGGUAUUUACAGGCAGUUAAACAGGUACGUACGAGAACUGGCUCUGUAUCAGAAUCCCACCUCUGACCCCCUGGUUCUGAGCUUACAGUUGAACCAGAACAGCCCAAAGGCUGGGAAAGGCUUAUCCAGUUCUGGGCCCUGGGCUUUUGUUCCAGUCCAGCUCUCGUCUAUACGCUAUGUGAAAUACCGUGUGGAGAGGCGUCAAGUUUUGCAGCGUAGUAGUGUUAUACACAGGUAAGAACUGGGGAUGUGGUGUAGGAUGAUUCUAGCUAAUACACACAGUUAGCUGGAAUGGCAUAGUCCCCCUAAGCCAGUUUUUGGUGCAGGAUUGUUAGGUACUAAUAGUUCCAUGGAGCUAGUGUAAAUGUUGUAUAGAAGGGGCGGUUAAUGGGGCUGUAGUGCAGUAUGUACUCUCACACUCAGGUAAGUCUGCACGGUUAGUUAUUCACUAUAUAAGGGGAAGGCUGGCCUCUUUCUAUACAGAAUACAGGAGAGUGUAGCUUCAGCUUAAGGUCCUUAUUUGUGUGUUUUCUUUGGUGCUGUGAUAGCUCAUCACCUAAAACUCCAUCUUCCCCAAACCGACCUCAGACCUGCCUACUCUAAGCUGGGAUCUGCCCCCAUCUGCUAUUUGCCUUAUGUUGUUUGGCUGCAUUGUCACUGGCGGGUUUGCUCUGGUGAGUUGACACAUUCCCUCACUGCUGUUGCCCAUGUUCUGAGUAAAAAAUGCCUUUCUCUGCAGAUCGGGAGGGUGCAUCCCUCACAACGGGCCAGGCCAGGUUCGUAUCACAGCACAGAGCGAAGGUUUGCUGUGUGGCUCGGCCCAGAAGAGGAUGGUCGCUCCAUCUGGGGCUGGCUGAUUGCCUGGGGGUAGGAGACUCCUGGGAUCUCUUUGCGUCAGCAUCCUCUCCAUGCUAGCCAGGAGGAAAGAGAUAGUGGGUGAGCAUUUUGAAAGUUGGCUGCCUUGUUAUCAUCCUCUAGGUUCUCCUGGGAGUCCGUGUGCCAUUUUCCUUUCAUGUGCUGAGCCAUCUCUCUCAGCUAGUCCUUUAGUGAGUGCCUCCUGUCUCUCUGACCACCAGCAGAUUGAUUUCCAAACAUGGCUGCAGCUUGCUGCUCGCUUGCCCAACCAGUUCUGGGCCUGGAGAUAAUGCCGCAGCUGGAAAUAUUUCUAACCCCCUGAUCUUUCAGGGCUGUGCUUUCAGGUGGCUUGUUCAAACCACUUCAAGGCUGAAACCUGAAAGAGCUGAUGUGGUAAGCCAGUCUGCUCUGCUCCUGUCUAGCCCUGGUGACUGCAGAGAAGCCAGGGGCAAAGCUUGCAGCUUGCAAUAGGAGAAAUGUACCCUGGCCAGGACAGGGUGUUGUGUUAAGAGGGUUUCUCCCAUUUGUGUGAUGAUCUCUGUGAUGUCUGGAAGGUGUUGAUUCCUGUGGCGCAGCUGGAAAAGCUAAUCUGAGCCUGUGCGUCUGAUACCUGGUCUGUGGGCUGUUAUAGGUGGGCUGCCUGCAAAUAGCUGGGGAAGGCUGGGAGAGCUACUUUCCCAGCUGUUUUUCCGAUUCUGCACAAGCCUGGCUUUAAUUUUGCUCUUUUCUUUCCCUUAGUGAACCUGGAAACAUGGGAUUGGUUGGGAGCAGGGGGGUUGGCGCUGGAGAAGGACCAGGACUCUUGGUACCGUUGGACGGUCCUGGUUCCUGCUCCGCCCGUUGGAGUUAGCUGUAGAACUGACACCUGGCUUGCACUUUGCUCAGCUCUGUGGAGGCAGCUCCGUUCCUAUGGACUCCAAGCCAGGAUCCACGGGUUGGAUAGAGGACGUAGAGGAGAGAAGAGGCGCUGCCAGCGCACCGGAUGGAAGGAACUCCAGCCUCGAGAGCUGCCAUCUGCUUCUUGUCAGGUUGCUGUGCGCGUCCGUUCCUGGCUGCCUGCUGACGGAGGUUGCUGGAUCCCAGCAUGAGAACGUUGUUAUGACAGAUGGUCUGUUUACCGCUUUUCAUCCCUGCUCAGGAUUGCACAGGAUGUUAGUGCUUGUCUGCAAAAGACAUUUCUGGGUCUGGUCUCUCGCCCUCCCCCACUAUCCUUUUGCUCUCUCCACCCACCUCCUUCUCACCCCCUCUUUUCUCCCCUCCCCGCCUCCAGUGCUCUCUGUUGCUACCAUCUAUGGUUCUGAUCUGUGCACGCAGGCCUCAUGGGAUUCCUUCCUGAAACACCUCUGCCCACAGUGUAGGCCUCCCCUCCAUGCUAGUCAGGCCGCACAAGUGAGCGGAUUUUGUUGAGAGUCUCAGCUCCAGGGGCGACAGAUGGGAUCAGCAUUGGCUCCUAAGCCUUCAAGCAGGUGUUGGCCAGCUGUGUGGCCUCUGUCACAAUCAAGACGAUCUGUUGCUUCAUUCAGGAGUGAGGAUCAGAGAGGCUGGUUUGACUUCCAUUAACUCCUUUAUGCCUGAGCCGUUCCCAGCUGGCACGUGUCCAGGGAUGGGGAACUCCUGCAAGGGAGGGGUUUGAAUUGCUAACAUUGUUUUGGAGACCCAAUGUCCUGGCCCUACCACUAGCCAGAGGCAUUCUCCCUGCUGCUGAAUUUGCAGACAUCUCACUGCGAGUUCUGGCUGGAAGGGCCCAGUAGCCCAGGGCUCCCAUACAGAAAUCAGUAUUGCCCUAGUAAUGCCUUCCCUGAGCUCUUAGCAUCUCUCCACUCUUCCCUCUGCCCAGGCAACAGCUCCAGCAACACCCCUCCAUCCCUCCCCACAUCUGCUGCAAAUCCUGGGACCCAGAAAUCCACCACCGUCUGCUCUUCUGUUCGGUCCAAGGGGCGCAGACUCCUCCCAGUGUCCCCCAGCAGCAGGGACAGUCCGGCUGGCAUGCUGGGCGGGCCCUCGGCUCUAACCCAUGCAGCCCCUGCUGCACGCAGCACUUUGGGAAAUGCAGUGCAAACAGUUUAUGCUGGGAUCAGCUCUCCUCAUAAACAUACUGAGACGCUUCCAAUUGCCUAAACAGCCCCCAGGCACGACUCAGGGCCUGUCCUGCUCUUUGUCCACAGCAGAGGGGCUGAUUAAUGGGCUUCUUUCCGGAGGAAACCGCAGUCCUGCUUUCCAUAGCCCUAGCGCCCUGCCCCUCCCCCCCCUCAGCAGAACUCCCAGGGCCAGCCAGCCAUCUGCAGCCAUGUUUAGUGCAGGAGGCAUAAACUACAUGCCAGCUCAGCUUCAGAGAGACAGGAGCCUCCACUGCCAUAUACGGGAUGGAAGAGGCCUGGGAACCUCAGUCAGGCCCUGUUUACUUCCUCUCCUCGCCUUCUGCUCCCAUUUCAUGGGGGACUGUCUGUCUAUGUAGCUAUCUCUGGGCUUACCCUGCACCCAGCACCCCAGUAUCUGGACCUCAUGGCUCUGUGGCCUUUGUCUGUUCUUUGCUUUUCAGACAGAAGCUCGUGUCCUUUCCCCAGGAGCUCCACUGGCCGGAUUGACAGCCCUGGAGCCAAAGGUCCCUGCUUAGCCCCAGAACGUGCCCGGCUAGGCAGCAAGUGUCCGCUGCCCACCCCGACCUGGCAGAAGGCACUGCAGUCAGGCCCAUUCAGCCUCUCUGCUGCAGCUGCCAACAAGGGGUCAGUCAGGUCAUUCACGGUGGCCAUUCCAUGGGGAAGUGAACUCAGAUCUAGUCAAGGCCAUUCCAAGUCAAGGCCUCCAGCCAGCCUGCGCUGGGAAGAGCAGCAGCUGGGGCAGUGAGCGGUAACCCCUGUGAAGUGCUUGGAGUGUGCUGGUACAAGGCCUCUGGGAACCCUGGGCUUCCCUGGAGCCAUCCCCCCUGAGGAGUAUGCCAGCCUCACCCUGUGCUGGGGCAAUGGCAAUGUAUUCUCCCCCCACCCCCAGCAUCUGUACAUCGUUGUGGGUCACCCCAGGCUCUUGUGAGCUCCUUAAAACCCUGGCUGUCCAACUCCAUACUGCUCACGUCUCUCAUGCAUGGGUACCUGCCACACUGACUCAACUCCCCAGCUCCUCUCCCAGCCUGCUCUGGGCUCCGCAUAAAACCCAGGCUGGCUCUUUGCAGGCGGCCUCAUCCCAUGUUUCAUUAGCUGCUCCUACCCCAGACAGCCCUUUCCCUGCCCUUGGCCGUACAGCUCCUUCCGCUGACCCAUGGCUGCUGCUGCACCUUCGCCCCGCUCUGCCCGAAAUCCCAGCAGGAACCGCGCCAUGUCACAGAUGACGCACUCUGUGAUCAGGACACGUGACAGCAGGAGGGGGCUGGAGACAGGCACACGGUGCCUGAGACACACAUAUAUACACCCAUCCUAAGUCAGCUAUACCCAGUCACACACGCUCACAGAGACACAGCUCUCUCUCUCUCUCUCCCUCCUCCCCACCCCCAUGUCUGCGCGAGGCAACGCUGGAUGGCUACAGAUGGAGCUCCAUCAAUGUCUCCCAGCCCAAGGUGCAGUGCUGCAUCUCUGGUCAGUUGUGAGUCUGAGAUGAAGCACUGUAGCUCGGGAAGGGAGGAACUGUGCAGCAGAGGGACAUGCAUCUGUUCAACAGGCCGCACGGAAGCCCAGGCCAGCAGGACUUAUGGCUCCAGGCAGCAGUUUCCCUUGAUGGGCAGCAAGAAGGGAUGACUCGCCACUUAGGUUCAGACCGAAGGAGUGGCAUAGGGUGUGAACUGGGGAGACAAACCCCCUGGCCACCUGAGGUUCAGCGCAGAGGUAGAGGGAAAGGUCUCUGCACCAACCAGGCCACAGGGUGGUCUUCUGGUUCCGGGCAGGGGGUGGGAAGGUUAGGAGGGAUUUUCAGGAAGCCUGUUAUCAAGGUGGCCUCUAGUUGCCCUGCAGUUGCCUUCAUUGCUUGCUCUCCUCCCCAGUCUCCCCGCUGAACCCUAGGGUUGGGUUUCAAAGAGCUCUGGGUGUGCACGUGUGCAUGCACCUAUGUGGAUCUGUCAGCACAGUGAGUGUGCAUGUGCCAGCCAUGCUAGUUCCCUCCCCUUCCAUGGGCAGAGGGUGGCUUGCCUAUCCCAGCUGCACUUUGGGAACAUUCCCUAACGCUCGGCAACGAGCCCGGAGCAGAGAGGAGCUCUGGGGAAUGACUCUUACAAGAGCUCAGAUCUGUUAGGCCUGGGCAGGAGAUGUUGUGGGGGAUGGACUCCAUGGCAAUAGAGCCCCCCAGGGCUGGCCAUUUGCGGAUCCUACGGCGCAGAAUGCUUAUCUCGAGCUGUAAGGCAGAGAGACAUGCAUGGAGUUGCAGGAGGUAUAAGGAAGUGGCACACCCCAAAUAGUGGGCUGGCACUGCAUGGUUAGUGCCUGUGGGCUUGUGCUGCACCCCCCUCCAAAGUCCCCUGGGAAUGCAAGGUAUGUUAAGGGGGAUUCAUCUUCCACAGUGGGAGUAAAUUGGCUAAAGGAAUGAAGGGGGGGGCUGACUGGGGUCAGUGCAGGGAGGUCACAAGCUGGGUUUAGACACCUGUGCAGCACUCCCUCAGGGUGGCACCUGGCGCUGUGGAUGGCUAAAGGAUGCUCAAGUACUGGGGACGGCGGAAACCACACUUUCUCUCCCCGCCGUGUCCUCAGGGUCCAGUUUUCCCAGGAAUCCCUUAGGCACUAUGACGGGGAUUCCUGGAAAUACUGUUCUUGAGGCCAUGGCUCAGCAGCUGGAGAAGACCUGCCCCCUGCCGAUGCAGAGCCCUCCAGAAGUCAGCGGAGCUGGAGAGCAAGGUUUGGAAGCACGUCUGGGGAUUCGCUUCUGGCAAUUCCAGGCUGAGCGGGAGGGAGGAUGGGAGGGCGGAGCCCUCCAGCGCUGUCAUGCCAUGGCCAUGCUGGGUGUGAGGGGUGGGUGUGAGCCCUGGUUUAACUCACCCCAGCUCCUCCAGACCAAGGUAUAAGGCCCAAGCUCAGCCAAGUGCAUAGGAGCUAUUGCACCCCCCAAGAUCAUAACUCAGUGCAGUGCAAAGCAAUCUAGGGGACCACCAGCAGGCCCGGAAGCUGCCCUGUGUGCUGGGAUCCUGCAGGAACGGAGCCUCUUCCUUUAUUAGCUCAGAGCUGGGAGUCACCGCUUCCCUUUGUAUCUCCCAAUCACCCCACUCCCUGGUGUGCUGCCAUCAGGGCUGUGGGGUGAGUCGCACAUGAGUAAAGGCCUCCCCGGGGUCCUGGGUGUGUUACUUGGCCGCUGCUGUGUAAAUAAAGAUCUGGGUUCAUCACGCAA
Molecule: long non-coding RNA, 6777 nt
Organism: Chelonia mydas (Green sea turtle)
Lineage: Eukaryota; Metazoa; Chordata; Testudines; Cheloniidae
Exons: 2
Source: RefSeq, a predicted model, not a curated record